CCUACGGGAGGCAGCAGUAGGGAAUCUUGCUCAAUGGGGGAAACCCUGAAGCAGCAACGCCGCGUGGAGGAUGAAGGUUUUCGGAUUGUAAACCCCUUUUGUUAGAGAAGAUAAUGACGGUAUCUAACGAAUAAGCACCGGCUAACUCCGUGUCAGCAGCCGCGGUAAUACGGAGGGGGCAAGCGUUACUCGGAAUCACUGGGCGUAAAGAGCGCGUAGGCGGGAUAGCAAGUCAGAUGUGAAAUCCUAUGGCUUAACCAGAGAACUGCAUUUGAAACUGUUAGUCUAGAGUAUGGGAGAGGUAGGUGGAAUUCUUGGUGUAGGAGUAAAAUCCGUAGAGAUCGAGAGGAAUACUCGUGGCGAAGGCGACCUGCUAGAACAUAACUGACGCUGAGGCGCGAAAGCGUGGGGAGCGAACAGGAUUAGAUACCCGGGUAGUC
This 440-nucleotide ribosomal RNA is filed under the name uncultured bacterium. Its description in RNAcentral is "partial 16S ribosomal RNA". It matches the Rfam family "Bacterial small subunit ribosomal RNA", at positions 338 to 795 of the family's 1533-position model. The record is from RNAcentral.